AUGUUGAAAAAUUAGCGGAUGACCUGUGGCUGGGGGUGAAAGGCCAAUCAAACCGGGAGAUAGCUGGUUCUCCCCGAAAGCUAUUUAGGUAGCGCCUCGUGAACUCAUCUCCGGGGGUAGAGCACUGUUUCGGCUAGGGGGCCAUCCCGGCUUACCAACCCGAUGCAAACUGCGAAUACCGGAGAAUGUUAUCACGGGAGACACACGGCGGGUGCUAA
Molecule: ribosomal RNA, 218 nt
Filed under: Salmonella enterica subsp. enterica serovar Worthington str. BCH-3194
Lineage: Bacteria; Pseudomonadati; Pseudomonadota; Gammaproteobacteria; Enterobacterales; Enterobacteriaceae
Description: partial 23S ribosomal RNA
Rfam family: Bacterial large subunit ribosomal RNA
Source: RNAcentral